RNAcentral lists this ribosomal RNA (509 nucleotides) under uncultured bacterium. RNAcentral describes it as "bacterial SSU rRNA". It matches the Rfam family "Bacterial small subunit ribosomal RNA", at positions 19 to 518 of the family's 1533-position model. The record is from RNAcentral.
CUGGCUCAGGAUGAACGCUAGCUACAGGCUUAACACAUGCAAGUCGUGGGGCAGCAUAUAGAUAGCUUGCUAUUAUGAUGGCGACCGGCGCACGGGUGAGUAACGCGUAUCCAACCUUCCCCAUAGUAGGGUAUAGCCCGGCGAAAGUCGGAUUAAUCCCCUAUGUUGUUUGAAGCGGACAUCUAAUUCAAACCAAAGAUUCAUCGCUAUGGGAUGGGGAUGCGUCUGAUUAGGUUGCAGGCGGGGUAACGGCCCACCUGGCCGACGAUCAGUAGGGGUUCUGAGAGGAAGGUCCCCCACACUGGUACUGAGACACGGACCAGACUCCUACGGGAGGCAGCAGUGAGGAAUAUUGGUCAAUGGGCGCGAGCCUGAACCAGCCAAGUAGCGUGCAGGAUGACGGCCCUACGGGUUGUAAACUGCUUUUAUGCGGGGAUAAAGUGCGGCACGUGUGCCGUUUUGCAGGUACCGCAUGAAUAAGGACCGGCUAAUUCCGUGCCAGCCGCAGC